This 779-nucleotide non-coding RNA is filed under the name Hydroporus puberulus. The record is from RNAcentral. Lineage: Eukaryota; Metazoa; Arthropoda; Insecta; Coleoptera; Dytiscidae.
AUAAAGUUUAAUUUUAGCUUAUAAAUUUAUUUAAUUUUUUUUUUACAUGUAAAUUUUAGUAUGAAUUUAAUAAUAAUUUAAAUAAUUAAUAUUAAAAAUUUUAUUCGCAGUAUAAAGUUUUAAUUAUUUAAGAGAUUAAGAAUUAUGAAUAAAUUUAAAUAUUAACAAAAUUUGUGCCAGCAGUUGCGGUUAUACAAAAAAUAUAAAUAAAUUUUAUUAGUGAAUAAUUAAGUGAAUUUAAUUUAAUUAAAAUAAAAUUUAUAAAGUGAAAUUUAAAAUUUUAAAUAAUUAUAAUUAAAAAUAAUUGAUAUUAUGAAAUUUAUAAAUUAAACUAGGAUUAGAUACCCUAUUAUUAUAAAUGUUAAUUUUUACUAUAGUAGUAUUAGUUAUGAUCUUGAAAUUUAAAAAUUUUGGCGGUAUUUUAGUCUAUUCAGAGGAACCUGUUCUAUAAUUGAUAAUCCACGAUAAAUUAUACUUUAUUUAUUAGUUUAUAUAUCGUCGUUAUUAAAUAUUUUAUUAGAAUUAUAAUAUUUAAGAUUUUUAAUUAGAAAAUAUAUCAGAUCAAGGUGUAGUUUAUAAUAAAGAAGAAAUGGGUUACAAUAAAUUUAUUUAUGAAUUUGUUUAUAAAAAUUAAUAAUGAAAUUGGAUUUGAUAGUAAUAAAUUAUAAAUUUAAUUUAUGAUUUUAGCUCUAAAAUGUGUACAUAUCGCCCGUCACUCUUAUUAUAAGAUAAGAUAAGUCGUAACAAAGUAGAUGUACUGGAAAGUGUAUCUAGAAUGA